This 253-nucleotide ribosomal RNA is filed under the name uncultured bacterium. RNAcentral describes it as "partial 16S ribosomal RNA". It matches the Rfam family "Bacterial small subunit ribosomal RNA", at positions 524 to 776 of the family's 1533-position model. The record is from RNAcentral.
UACGGAGGGGGCUAGCGUUGUUCGGAAUUACUGGGCGUAAAGCGCACGUAGGCGGAUUGGAAAGUUGGGGGUGAAAUCCCAGGGCUCAACCCUGGAACUGCCUUCAAAACUACCAGUCUAGAGUUCUGGAGAGGUGAGUGGAAUUCCGAGUGUAGAGGUGAAAUUCGUAGAUAUUCGGAGGAACACCAGUGGCGAAGGCGGCUCACUGGCCAGAUACUGACGCUGAGGUGCGAAAGCGUGGGGAGCAAACAGG